AUCGUUGUUCCCUGAAGUGAGGGUAUGUGCCCUUGGACUACAUUGUGGAGGCCAGCACCAUGCAGUCCAUGGGCAUAUACACUUACUUCAUGGCCUACAUCAACA
Danio rerio (zebrafish) is the source of this 105-nucleotide microRNA precursor. Ensembl annotates it as dre-mir-455-2. Its record names the gene dre-mir-455-2. The record is from Ensembl. NCBI's taxonomy places the organism in Eukaryota, Metazoa, Chordata, Actinopteri, Cypriniformes, Danionidae.